AUUGAACGCUGGCGGCAGGCCUAACACAUGCAAGUCGAGCGGAUGAAGGGAGCUUGCUCCUGGAUUCAGCGGCGGACGGGUGAGUAAUGCCUAGGAAUCUGCCUGGUAGUGGGGGGUAACGUCCGGAAACGGGCGCUAAUACCGCAUACGUCCUGAGGGAGAAAGUGGGGGAUCUUCGGACCUCACGCUAUCAGAUGAGCCUAGGUCGGAUUAGCUAGUUGGUGGGGUAAAGGCCUACCAAGGCGACGAUCCGUAACUGGUCUGAGAGGAUGAUCAGUCACACUGGAACUGAGACACGGUCCAGACUCCUACGGGAGGCAGCAGUGGGGAAUAUUGGACAAAGGGCGAAAGCCUGAUCCAGCCAUGCCGCGUGUGUGAAGAAGGUCUUCGGAUUGUAAAGCACUUUAAGUUGGGAGGAAGGGCAGUAAGUUAAUACCUUGCUGUUUUGACGUUACCAACAGAAUAAGCACCGGCUAACUUCGUG
RNAcentral lists this ribosomal RNA (484 nucleotides) under uncultured bacterium. Its description in RNAcentral is "partial 16S ribosomal RNA". It matches the Rfam family "Bacterial small subunit ribosomal RNA", at positions 30 to 507 of the family's 1533-position model. The record is from RNAcentral.